Molecule: ribosomal RNA, 253 nt
Filed under: uncultured prokaryote
Description: partial 16S ribosomal RNA
Rfam family: Bacterial small subunit ribosomal RNA
Source: RNAcentral
GACGUAGGGUCCAAGCGUUGUCCGGAUUUACUGGGCGUAAAGAGCGCGUAGGCGGCUCGUUAAGUGUGAAGUGAAAUCUCUGGGCUUAACCCAGAGGCUGCUUUCAAAACUGCCGUGCUCGAGUGCGAGAGAGGUCAGUGGAAUUGCAGGUGUAGCGGUGAAAUGCGUAGAUAUCUGCAGGAACACCCGUGGCGAAGGCGGCUGACUGGAUCGCAACUGACACUGAGGAACGAAAGCUAGGGGAGCAAACAGG